GCCAAAGACAUCCUGGACCCUGACCUCAUUCGUCAGUUCAGGGCCCUCCACCCUGAGAGAGCUGACCCAGGUUCGUAACCGGGUCCUGACACCCCAGCUUCUGCAGCCAUCGUGAGGAGCAUUCAGGAGGAGGAUGCUGGUGCCCCAUCCAUCAGACCCACGGAACCAAAAACUCCAAUACGGGAAAUUCCAGCCGGUAGCAACAAGAAGAAGCGCUGUGAUGUGUGUGGACCCAAGAAGGACAGGAAGACACAGGACACAUGUAUCAAGUGCAAUACAUACAUUUGCAACACACACACACAGUAAAACUCUGUCCCUCAUGUGGUGUGUAGACCGGCCUUAAUGUGUUCAAUGGGGCUCAUUUAUCAUUUCCAAAAUAUACUCUACGUAAAA
Long non-coding RNA from Oncorhynchus masou masou (cherry salmon), 393 nucleotides. RefSeq lists it as uncharacterized. The transcript has 3 exons. The record is from RefSeq and is a predicted model, not a curated record. NCBI's taxonomy places the organism in Eukaryota, Metazoa, Chordata, Actinopteri, Salmoniformes, Salmonidae.